AUUGAACGCUGGCGGCAGGCCUAACACAUGCAAGUCGAGCGGAUGAAGGGAGCUUGCUCCUGGAUUCAGCGGCGGACGGGUGAGUAAUGCCUAGGAAUCUGCCUGGUAGUGGGGGAUAACGUCCGGAAACGGGCGCUAAUACCGCAUACGUCCUGAGGGAGAAAGUGGGGGAUCUUCGGACCUCACGCUAUCAGAUGAGCCUAGGUCGGAUUAGCUAGUUGGUGGGGUAAAGGCCUACCAAGGCGACGAUCCGUAACUGGUCUGAGAGGAUGAUCAGACACACUGGAACUGAGACACGGUCCAGACUCCUACGGGAGGCAGCAGUGGGGAAUAUUGGACAAUGGGCGAAAGCCUGAUCCAGCCAUGCCGCGUGUGUGAAGAAGGUCUUCGGAUUGUAAAGCACUUUAAGUUGGGAGGAAGGGAAGUAAGUUAAUACCUUGCUGUUUUGACGUUACCAACAGAAUAAGCACCGGCUAACUUCGUG
This 484-nucleotide ribosomal RNA is filed under the name uncultured bacterium. Its description in RNAcentral is "partial 16S ribosomal RNA". It matches the Rfam family "Bacterial small subunit ribosomal RNA", at positions 30 to 507 of the family's 1533-position model. The record is from RNAcentral.